Dromaius novaehollandiae (emu) is the source of this 1273-nucleotide long non-coding RNA. RefSeq lists it as uncharacterized. The record is from RefSeq and is a predicted model, not a curated record. Lineage: Eukaryota; Metazoa; Chordata; Aves; Casuariiformes; Dromaiidae. The transcript is spliced from 3 exons.
AGGACACACCUCACCUGCCGUUCAGCUGACUUGUUUUGGAUUCAACAGGGCAGAGAGUAGGAGAGAUGUCCAUCCAGACGCGAGUGCUGGGGAAUAUUCUUGUGUCCCACAGUUCAGACAUAAUCCUGGGAAUCUGGAUACCAGAAAAGAGUCUGCUUCAUCCUCUUUACAUCCUCCCAUCAGUGGGGAGCCCAGUCCUGGACAAAGCACUCCAGAUGUGGCCUCACCAGGGCUGAGUAGAGGGGAAGUACCACCUCCCUCAGCCUGUUGGCAACAGUCUGUCUAAUGCAGCCCAGGGAGCUGCUGACCUUCUUUGUUGAAAGGGCACAUUGCUGGCUCAUGGUCAACUUGGUCCUCCACCAGGAACCCUAGCUCUUUUCUGCAAAGCUGCUUUCCAGCAGGUCGCCCCUCAGCCUGUACUGGUGAAUGGGGUUAUUCCUCCCCAGGUGCAGGACUUGGCACUUCGUUUUGCAGAACUUCUUGAGGUACCUGUCAGCCCAUAUCUCCAGCCUGUCAAUGUCCUUCUGAACGGCAGCACAGCCCUCUGCUGUGUCAGCCACUCCUCCCAGUUUUGUAGCAACUGCAGACUUGCUGAGGGUACACCCUGUCCUGUAGUUGAGGCCAUUAAUGAAGAAGUUAAACAGUAGUUGUCCCAGUAUUGACCCCCCGGGUACACCACUAAUGACUGACCUCCAGGUGGACUUUUUGUUGCUGAUCACAACCCUUUGACCCUGACAGUUCAGCCAGUUUUCAGUCCUCCUCACUGUUCAGUCAUCUAGCCCAAACUUCACCAGUUUGUCAAUGAGGAUGUUAGGGAUGUUAGGGAAUGUAGAGAGGAAUAAGCAAUUUAGCAUUAACGAGCACCAGAAGGGAGAUGGACUUUAACCUAGAACACAGAACAAAGAAACAAAGGAACCACAAGACUGAUUCCAGAGGACAAGACAAGGAAGUAGAAGAGCCAGACAGCUGUGCAGAAAUAAGUAACCACAAAAACUGUUUCCAAGGGCCAAGAUAAGGGAGUAAAAGAGACAUCGACAACUGUGCACAACUGAGAUAAGAAGGAAAGAACAUACCUGGAAACUAUGGAAAGGACCAGCCCAGAGCUGGAAGACCUCAAACUCUAAUAUUAUGAUUGAUUCAGGACUAUGGGGUGGAUACUAGACUGGAAGGGAAAAAUUACCCAGGGUUUUGUUCAAAUGGGGUCACUCUUCGGAGGCAGCCAGCUCGAGCUGUAAUUACUGCAUGUGUAUCAUUAAAAUUUAUUUUGCUCUGA